Long non-coding RNA from Onychostoma macrolepis, 2001 nucleotides. RefSeq lists it as uncharacterized. The record is from RefSeq and is a predicted model, not a curated record. NCBI's taxonomy places the organism in Eukaryota, Metazoa, Chordata, Actinopteri, Cypriniformes, Cyprinidae. The transcript has 8 exons.
GUACUCUUUUAUACCCUAAUGCAAUGCAAAACUUCCUUCCAUCGGGAUAUUUAUGGAAAGCUAUGGUUUUGACGUCUGAACCAACGAACAGUUGGAGGAAAGUUAUAAAGGUUUGGAACAGCAUGAGGGCAGCAGGACCCUGAGGGAGAGGGAGAGUCGAUGGCCCAACACACGCUGUGAUAAAUUGCUCUCACUCCAAUGAGUGUUAUUCAUUGGUCAGAGGCUGGGAAGAAAAGCUUCUCAGGACCCAAAAGUACUGUCAUGAUACUACAGUACAUUUAUGGUUUCAAAUGACCAUUACAAGACAAACUGCACUACUCUAUGGACUUCAAACCAGCUCUGACCUGUUAGCAUGUUUACAGACGCUGAUGUACCCGGAGUCUGUGUUACUGAGUUCGGCUGGACUGAACCUGUGGCGGCUGGUGUUGAGUCUGAGAUGCGGGAGAGUUUGAUUCUGGUUGUCUCUGAUGUUGGAGAUAAAAACUCUGGGAUCUUUGGGGACAGUAAACAGCAUCCGUCUGCUCUACUCCAAAUAUAGCAGCCGUCUACUGGGGGGAAGGGAAUACCUCAAGAAAGAUGGAACCAACAAAAGAGAGAGAGAGAGAGAGAGAGAAAACCACUUCAGAGAAGAGCAUCCUUGAGAUGAAACAGGAGAAAUGUGAUGUAUGAAGAAAAAUAAAAAAAUGAGACAGAAGGGGACACAUCCACCUACACUUCAUAGCUUUAACCUGCAGUUGGUUUAUCCUCACCGUAUGAAAUUGCUGUUCCUAAAUGUUUACUGUCAACAGAUUCAUGACCCUGAAAGCUUUGACCUCGGCUAACGAUGCCCGAUGCAGACUCCUCCGGUGCCAUGGCUCUCACAGAACUUCCUCGCCUCGCUUGACGCCUGUUUUCAUAUUCCUUAUUAUCGGCGCUCCAGCCCCUUCCCGCAUUUUUGAAGUAUAGCAGCUAAAAAAAGCCUGUGCCAGGGGAGCGGCUAAUGAAAAAUGCCCCGCUGUUUCCUCCCCAAUGCCUGAGAGAGCUUCCCAUACAAAAGCAGCGCUGAAGGGUGGUGGCAGACCAGAGACCUGGCCUCUACAGCCCCGUUCCCCGUGCUCCUCGUGGAGGAUUUGCAGUUAAAAGGUUGGAGAUACAUGGGAGAGAGAGCGCUCCCCAUGAGGCGAAAGGCCCUUCCUGUACCACAGCUACUGAAUCGCAGACGACCUUGAAAGCUUUGGCACCGGCAGCUCCUGUAAAUUAUUCACACAGGAUGCAGAAAAGGGCUUCUUCUGCACUCCCGGACGAAAGGGCGGAAGCCAAAAGCAAGCGCCGCCACCUCCACCGCCUCUCACGUGGAAGAUGCGGAUUAACGGUGAGGAAAGGAGACGGGCGCGCAAACGACAGAGAGUGGUCUUGCCGUUGCCUGUGCACAUCAAAAAAGUUGAAGGAGAGAAAGAAUAAGGGAUGUCCCUUCAUAAUUAAUUUCUCCCCCCCACGGAAACAUCGCGAUGGGGCCAAUUAUUGCCAGAAUGUGACUCCAUCGCCUGCUGCGUCACUGUCCACAGAGCUGUAUCCUCUAGGCAUCCGCAUGACGCUGAAUACAGUGAGAUGGGCACACACUUAUCUUUACAGUGUAAAACACACUGGUUGGUGUUGGAUUUUGAACUAAUUCUCUGCGAUCAUUCCUUUCAUUAGGUUGUAUUUGCGUGUAGAUGAACCAAUAGUUAAACAAGCAAAACAGCUAAUCAGCAAUUUAAAUGAAACAAUCUACUGCAUAAUAUGAUUUAUUAUAUGACAUAUUUUGUAUAUAAUGAAAAUAAUUAAUGUAAAUAACACUAAAUUUCAUUAUCGCUUAGUCUGGUGUGUGUGCAUGGAAAUCCUCCAUUAGUAGUGACACUUUAAAGUUGUAAAAAUAUAUAUAAAAAUAGUCUUUGGGAAAAAACAAACAAACAUUUAUUUUCAAGUAUGUAUAUAUACAGUUUAUGUUUUUAUAUGACCACUUCCAUUUUGCAUCCUGACAGC